RNAcentral lists this transfer RNA (63 nucleotides) under Amblyomma fimbriatum (goanna tick). Its description in RNAcentral is "tRNA-Thr". The record is from RNAcentral. Lineage: Eukaryota; Metazoa; Arthropoda; Arachnida; Ixodida; Ixodidae.
GUUUUAAUAAUUUAAAAAAAAUUUUGAUUUUGUAAAUCAAAUUUGAAUACAAUUCUUAAAGCA